CAGAAUAGUAGAUUUUUUGCCUAAAUCUACCUAUAAAAGGGACUUUAUCCCUAUCAAGAAGAGUAUGCUUGAAUGAGCCACAUCACAAAACGAUGUCUGAAUGGACUGCCAAAACAGUGCCUAAAUGGGCCAAAACCCUAGAGAGUUGGUGGAAAGGAAUUAUCGUUUCCACCAAUCUGCAAAGCACUAUUUCAUUUUCUACGAUUAGUCAAUGAGUGACAACUUGAGGUCCGAGUGAAGAAGAUCUCAUUUAUCAUCUCCCCUAAUUUGUAAUGUUAUUUUCUAUUCUUUUCACUUUUUCAUAUUCUUUACAUUCUAUUUGUUCAUAUUGUACAGUGGUCGAAGACCUUUAUUCUUUAAUCCAAUGUAUAGUUAUAGCUUUUUAAUCCAUCACCUCUUAACUAUUCAUCUGUCCUUCUGUUAUUUGUAGUUUAGGAUCUAUGAUAGAUUUUUUAUAAGCAGCUUAGCUUUGAGCUAUAUUCAUCAUCUGGCCAGUAUAUAUCGCCAACUACCCGAGAGGGUAAAUAGCAAAGAUAUGGCUAAUGCUACUACAAGAAUAGUACCUUCCCCAACGCAGCUCCAGGUCGGCAAAUACACGAAAAACAUCGAAGAAGGUAACUUCGAUGUCAAAGUCGACCUUGGCAGGUACGUCGGAGAAAGCACAUCGAGGACACUUUCCUCGAUGCAUAUCUUCUGAGCAAAACAUUGUUGAUCCUUUUACAAAAGCCCUCACGGCUAAAGUGUUUGAGGGUCACCUACACAGUUUAGGUCUAAGAUGUUUGUAAACUAGGACAAGUGGGAGACUUAUUGGGCAUGUGCCCUAGUUUUAUAUGUGUUUAUUGUACUCAUAUAUAUAAUAUUCUCUCAUGGUUAAAUCCAACAUUGUUGUAUCCCACCAGGAGUUUUAAUCUAAGUGGGAGUUUGUUGGAAUUUUUUAUCCUAAAACUCGUAGUUAUAAUCAUAUUUUGUUCAAUAAAGUUGUUAUAUUGAGAAAUUGAAUAUUAUAAUCUUAAAUCCAAUAAACUAAGUCUCGAUGCUAUUUUUAAUAAACUUGAACUUUAUGUGGAGACAUAAACGUGGAUCAAGUUCGAGUAUAUAGCCUAAAUAGUCUAUAGUAUAUAAAUAAUGGUCGGGCAGAGAAACUAUGGAUGCGGUCUGCUUUGUAGUAAGUACAAACAAGGUGAUCCUGAAUCGUUCAUGUAGAGACAUGAAAGUUGGGGCAUCCUAUGUAAAGUACUUACAUAAGACUGAACCAUGAAAUAGUCACUUUUACGUUAUAACACCGUUUAUUGUUUAAAAUUGCCUACCUCAAUUAUUGAUGGCCUAAGUAACUUAAUCUUAAACCUGAACUAACUAUCAACUCAUGUUCAUAGGAGAUUAUCCUUAGAUCUGUAUAGGUAUGUGCAGUUUAUCAGCGUUGACCCAAUAAGCCUCCAAUUUCAAGGGUAAAAUCGAGUGGAUAGCUGGGGACAUAAGAUGCAAGACAGAAUUCACUCCUACCCGCUUUAGGGUUAGUAGAUAGGUUGUUCUCUUAAGCACUGAAUCCAAGUCUUGAACAAGGAGUCUCACCCUCUCAUUGGCUCGAGAGGGAUUAAGGACCAAAUGACUGAUGAUAGAUCUAUGGAGGCCCAAUCACACGAGUUGCAAAAAAAUUGCUCAUCAAAUAGUUAGUGAAGGUAUGACACUUAAUGAGCAGUUUCAAGUUGUUGUUAUUAUCGACAAGUUACCUUCACUGUGAAAGAAUGUUAAGAAUACUUUAAAGCACAAGAUGAAGGAGUUCUCACUAGAGAGUUUGGUCACCUGGUUGAGGAUUAAGGAUGAGACUCGUAAGCAUGACCAAAAUGAGAAGGUGAACGCUGUCCCCAGGAAGAAGCCCACUAAUGUUCUAAAACAAGACCUGAAACCAAAAGGGAACAGAAUGAAGGUUCAGAAUCGAGCUCCCAACAACCAGAAAAAUUCUCAUAAACCCCAAUCCAGACGUACAAAACAAAUUAUGUGCUUUAAUUGUAAUAAACCUGAACACUUAGCUAGAAACUAUAGAAAUAGAAAUCGUUCUACUAUGCAGGUGAACCUAAUAGAAGAAGAUUUAGUAGCUAUGAUCAUAGAGACAUAUGUAAUCAACAGGUCUCUAUCUAUUUGAGAUAGAAAGUACUUUCUAUCUCAAAUAGAUAGUGAUAGUGACCUAUCUCUAUCUAUUUGGGAUAGAAAAUGACAUAAAUCUCUAUCAUUGUCCCCCAUCUAAAAAAAAUCAGCAAAAUUAAACAAAUGGAUCGACGUUAGAGUUUAUGAAUCAUAAUUUUUUAUUUAUUAUUGUAACGACCCAACUUUUCUAAGUAAGUCGAGAUCGUUAAUUUUUAUCAAAUAAAAGACUUUGAUUAAUAUAAAACAAAACGUAAGCAAUUUAAAAAAAACAUCUUCAAGUCAGGCCUGAUUUUUAAACAUUCAAGAAAACAUAAAAUAAUAUUAUUUACAACAAACGUUUGUAAACUAAAUUUCAAUUCAUUUUAAACCUCACAAGAACCCAUAAGCGGAAGCAAAAACACGUUUCCUAUGGCACCACGCUUCCUUCCUACCCCUUGCCGGUUUGCCGCUUUUAUUACCUUUGCUGGUCUCGUCAGGAUGAGUACUUAAAUACUCAGUAAGAGACUCUCUACUGUCUCGUUAGGGGAAAAUAAAUUGUUAACGUUCUAUUGGAACACCAUGUACAGUCGCAGUCUUGUGAUCCUGUAGGAUACACAUCUCAGUCUAACGCCUCGAGGGACGUACAUAUCAGUCUAGUGUUCUGCAGAAACACAUAUCAGUCUAAUGCUCCCGAAGGUGCACAAUAAAUUGGUGAUCCCGUGGGGCACCUACAAGGUAAACAUCCCAAUACAAUCUAACAAUUUUCCCCUCAUUUCAUUCAAUCCAUCUUUUAAUUACUUCAAGACACAAAGUUCUUUCUUUCAACGUCCUAACAGUCAACUUAUUUUACUUCAGUCAUAUGUCUGUCAAUAUUAUGCUAAUACAUCAGUCAAUCAAACUAUACAGUCAACACACCCCUCAAUCAAACUAUACAGUCAACACACCCCUCAAUCAAACUAUACAGUCAACACACCCCUCAGUUCGUCGGCACACAGUCAUACUUUAACGUAACGUACACCCAAUCUAAACGAAAAUCACAAGUUCACAUCUCCAUCUCAUACAAACACAAUCUACAAUCUUCGUCCUGUCCACAUACACACUUAUAUAUAUAUUCCAUGACAAUCACGAUAUACAUUCGACGUCAAGUCUACUUCAAUUCAUAUGCAUUCAUAUAUAUUUUCAGUCAAUCCACAGUAUACAUUUAACACAUACAAUUCACAGUCAUAAGUGAGUAGAAAAUCCCUUAUCCCUUAUUUUCCUCAACGUAAGUUUCAACUCAACUCACCUCACCGAUAUAAUGGCGAACUGAACCUUCAAUAAUUCACAAUCUGGUUGUGAAUGUAAGGGAGCCUAACGUUACUCCCAACACCUCAUCGCACGACUGUCGAACUCGCAGCAAAAUCCUAAGUGUGGGUCGGUCAGCGGUCGGCCAAAGGGGACGUGGCGGCUGGGCUUCACGGAUGGAGACCGUCGCGAACAGACCGCGAAUCUGAACGGUUACAGCAACUAGUCGGCCGACGUUGAUCGCAGGUGGAGCGGCGGUUGUGAGCGGGGAGCGUGGUCGACGGAGACAGAACCGGCGGAGACGGUUGCAGAACCGCGGCUUCGACGGAGACAGAACCGGCGAUGGAGACGGCUGGGCAGCGGCGGAAGGUCUUGCGGUACAGAUCUGGACGGCGGCCGCAAGGUGACGCGUACGGCUGCCUCGCGAACUGGCCAACGGUUGCAGCGACGUCCGACUGGGUUUGGACGGAACGGAGAGGAGAAGAGAAGAUGGAGAUGGCCGGCGGCGGUUACUGCGCGAACGGAGAGAAGGGAACGGAUGGGGCGGCUGGGCUGCGACUGGGCUGCGGCGGGAAGAAAACGGAAGAGAAAGGAUCGGCGGCUGGGCUGCGGCUGGGCACGAACGGAAGGAGAAGAGGAAUGGAGACGGCCGGCGGCGGUUGCUGCGAACGGGAAGGAGAAGGGAGAAGGGAUCGACGGUCGCACGGGGAAAAAGAAGGGAGAAAAGAAAAGAAAAAGAAAAAGAAAAGAAAAAAAAUAAUAAAAAAUUUCUUUAUUAUUAUUUUUAUUUAUUUAUUUAAAUUAAUAAAAAUAAUAUAUAUAACUUUCCUUUUUUUUUUCUUUUGGGGCAUGUUGUUGAGUUGUAAAUAUUUUUAAUGGUACCAUCAAUUUUCAAGCACACAAACUAUUAAGUAUUAUAUCAUAUUUAGCUUUCUCAAAAACCCUAUGAUAAUAUUAUAUCUCUCUUUACAAUGAUAAAACUAUAUAUUUGUCUCAGAUAAACAACAAUAAUGGUCUAUCUCUGUCUAUCUAGAAUAGAUAGAGAUAGAGCUUUAUCACUUUCUAUCUCAAAUAGAUAGUGAUGGUGGCAGAUCUCUAUCUAUCUAGGAUAGAAAGAAAAAAAGAUCAUUAUAUUGUCCAAGACCUAUUGAGUUAUGCAUGAUGGUCAAUAAUCGUAGAUUGAGAUUCACAAAAAUUGUACGGACGGAGGUAUUUUUGGUAUUUCAC
Molecule: long non-coding RNA, 4632 nt
Filed under: Cucumis sativus (cucumber)
Lineage: Eukaryota; Viridiplantae; Streptophyta; Magnoliopsida; Cucurbitales; Cucurbitaceae
Description: long non-coding RNA (CSAT_LNC001962)
Source: RNAcentral